RNAcentral lists this ribosomal RNA (1068 nucleotides) under Phylloporus luxiensis. Its description in RNAcentral is "eukaryotic LSU rRNA". The stretch from base 532 to 686 matches the Rfam family "5.8S ribosomal RNA". Lineage: Eukaryota; Fungi; Basidiomycota; Agaricomycetes; Boletales; Boletaceae. The record is from RNAcentral.
CGAAAAUGAUUUGAAUGAUAGAGAGACUGUGCUGGCCCCUGGCAUGUGCACGUCCCUUCUGUCAUAUACCCACACCUGUGCACCAAUCGUAGAUCUUUCGAUGUUGACAUCGACGAGCUUAGUUAUUAGGCAGUCUUUCUAACGAGGGGCUGGCGAAAGCAAGCUAAAGGAUCAGGAUCAAAGUUGGUGUCGAUCUCGACCGUCCGAUCAAGCUUAGUUAUUAGGCAGUCUUUGAAAAGAGGCUGGCGAAAGCAAGCAAGCAAGGCAAGGUCGAUGUCGACGUCAAUGGCAAGUCCUUGAUCUCGUCAAGCUUAGUUACUAGCCAGUCCUUGACUGGCGAAAGCAAGCCGAGGACGAAUGUCGAUGUCGAUGUAGAGGAUGGAAUCAAUGUCGAUCAUCUUAGCUUAGUUACUAGGCAGUCUUUUGGCUGGCGAAAGCAAGCUAGAGGAUGUCGAUGUCGAGGACAUCAAUGGAUCUAUGUCAUCAUCAUCACACACUAUCGUAUGGCCAGAAUGUUUAUAAAUGAAAUACAACUUUCAGCAAUGGAUCUCUUGGUUCUCGCAUCGAUGAAGAACGCAGCGAAUUGCGAUAAGUAAUGUGAAUUGCAGAUUUCCAGUGAAUCAUCGAAUCUUUGAACGCAUCUUGCGCUCCUUGGUAUUCCGAGGAGCAUGCCUGUUUGAGUGUCAUUUAAUUAUCAACCACCGUUCUUUAGGGAACGAUGGGUUGGAGUUGGGGGUUGCUGGCGACGACCUGGUCGUCAGCUCUCCUUAAAUACAUUAGCGAUCGAGUUGGGCUAUCAAGUCUUUCGACAUGCACGGCCAUUGACGUGAUAAUGAUCGUCCUGGCUGGAGUGUCUAACCUAGACUAUGCUACAUAGAUCGCUUCUAACAGAAAAGAUCCUUGAACUUUGUGAAGCUUAGCUAUUAGGCAGUCCUUUGAAAAGAGGCUGGCGAACACGAGCGAAAGACAGGGAGAGGAUCGAAAUCCUUGAUCAGCUUAGUUACUAGGCAGUCCUUUGAAAAAGAGGCUGGCGAACACAAGCGGAGAGAAAGGAUGAAUAUAAAGACU